AAGUCGAACGAGGAAAGCACCNUUCGGGUGCCGGUACUAGUGGCGCACCGUUGAGUAACGCGUGGAUAAUCUGCCCUCUGGCGGGGAAUAACUAGUCGAAAGAUUAGCUAAUACCGCAUAAGACCACAGCUUCUGCGGAAGCAGUGGUUAAAGAUUUAUCACCAGAGGAUGAGUCCGCGUCCGAUUAGCUUGAUGGUGGGGUAACGGCCUACCAUAGCGACGAUCGGUAGCUGGUCUGAGAGGAUGAUCAGCCACACUGGAACUGAGACACGGUCCAGACUCCUACGGGAGGCAGCAGUAGGGAAUAUUGCGCAAUGGGGGAAACCCUGACGCAGCGACGCCGCGUGAGUGAUGAAGGCCUUCGGGUUGUAAAGCUCUGUUCUACAGGAACAAAAAAAUGAGUGUACUGUAGAAGAAAGGACCGGCUAACUCCGUGCCAGCAGCCGCGGUAAUACGGGGGGUCCUAGCGUUGUUCGGAAUCAUUGGGCGUAAAGCGGGUGUAGGCGGAUUAGUAAGUCAGAAGUGAAAGCCCCGGGCUCAACCCGGGAAGUGCUUUUGAUACUGCUAAUCUUGAGUGUGGGAGAGGGUAGUAGAAUUCCAGGUGUAGUGGUGAAAUACGUAGAUAUCUGGAGGAACACCGGUGGCGAAGGCGACUGCCUGGCCCAACACUGACGCUCAGACCCGAAAGCGUGGGUAGCAAACAGGAUUAGAUACCCUGGUAGUCCACGCCGUAAACACUGGACACUUGUUGUUGGAGGUAUUGACCCCUUCAGUGACGGAGCUAACGCGUUAAGUGUCCCGCCU
Molecule: ribosomal RNA, 804 nt
Filed under: uncultured bacterium
Lineage: Bacteria
Description: bacterial SSU rRNA
Rfam family: Bacterial small subunit ribosomal RNA
Source: RNAcentral